RNAcentral lists this ribosomal RNA (458 nucleotides) under uncultured bacterium. RNAcentral describes it as "bacterial SSU rRNA". It matches the Rfam family "Bacterial small subunit ribosomal RNA", at positions 28 to 507 of the family's 1533-position model. The record is from RNAcentral.
GGUGAACGCUGGCGGCGUGCCUAACACAUGCAAGUCGAGCGGUGCAGUUUGAAGCUUCGGUGGAAAGCUGCAUAGCGGCGGACGGGUGAGGAAAACGUAGGAACGUGCCCCUUGGAGUUGGAUAGCCACGGGAAACUGUGGGUAAACCGACAUAGACUCGAGAGAGUAAAGGCCGAAAGGCGCCAAGGGAGCGGCCUGCGGCCCCAUCAGGUAGUUGGUAGUGUAAAGGACUACCGAGCCUGCGACGGGUAGCCGGUCUGAGAGGAUGGCCGGCCACAAGGGCACUGAGAGACGGGCCCUACUCCUACGGGAGGCAGCAGUGGGGGAUUUUGGACAAUGGGCGAAAGCCUGAUCCAGCGACGCCGCGUGGAGGACGAAGCCCUUCGGGGUGUAAACUCCUUUUCUCAGGGAAAAAAAGAUGAUGGUACCUGAGGAAUAAGCCCCCGGCUAACUACGUG